This is a long non-coding RNA of Capsicum annuum, 613 nucleotides long. RefSeq lists it as uncharacterized. The record is from RefSeq and is a predicted model, not a curated record. The transcript is spliced from 2 exons. NCBI's taxonomy places the organism in Eukaryota, Viridiplantae, Streptophyta, Magnoliopsida, Solanales, Solanaceae.
CCCGCCGCCAAACAAAAGAUGAGACUUGCUUUAUGGAGAAAGAAGGGUCGGAGAGGGAUCUAUACUACUGGCAGAAACUAUGGCCUUGAGGAUUCAGUUGGAGCACUAUACAUAUCAUCAUCUACUACCUGUGGUAUUGGAAACAGUGAUUGAACAUACAGUCAGGAAAGAUAACAUGUUGGCGGAUGAACCUGUUAAAUCUGUUUCUUGUGCAUCGGUAUCAGCCUCUCGACGGAUCGUUCUUCUAAGAAAAUGGAGACUGAUAAAUCUGACACUGGCACUUUUGAGAUUUUGCUAGAGGAAAAAGGAGAAGGCUUACCACACUCAUAGUUAUUCAGAUUUGACAAUUGUGAACUGUAAAAUGUCUUCAUUGGGAUCGAUUGAGUGAUCGCUUCUCAUCACUCAUCGUCAACAGAUUGACAAUAUAGUUCUAGAAUACAACAGAAGAGGCGAUUUGGUUCCCUAGUUUGACUUUCUAGAAUGUAAGAUUUUUUUUUAUGCUUUUUUUGUUUUCUAUGUUCAGAUUAUUUAUUGGGGCUUUGACAUUUUGGUACUCAGCAGUUUAGUAUUGUUUUUAAGCAAUGAAGAGCCGAUCUGGUGGUCCAUUUUCUUU